GUUUAGACACAAACCACCCUGCAGGACGCGUCGCGUUAAUAUUAAAGGUUUAUCCCAGAGUUGAAACACAAUCGACAGACCGUCGAGGGGCUACAAACACAAACAAACAAACAAACAAACAAACAUUUGAAGCCUUUUUUUAGUCUUAAUCCGUUUAAAACGGACGAAGAAGAAAAUCCCUCACAGAACGGAGCCGUGACCGGAAACGUCCGCAGUUAUCAGAGCGCAGAGUUUAUGCAGGUGGAGUGGACGUCACCGUGACGUCACCGCGAGAGACUUCUUUGCUUCUUCGAGGUGGAGUUUAAUAAAGUCAUUCACACAUACGUCACACAUACGUCACACAGCGGACGGACAGACAAUACGAGAGAACAAAACAUGAAAGAAAAUAAAAAUAAAAACACGUCAUGGUUUCAUUCACACACCCGAAAAAGAAGUAAUUUAUUUAAUCCCUCCUCUAAUCCCAAAGUUAAUAAUAAUAAUAGUGUAUCGUCAACAUAAAGUUCUUAUAUUGGUCCGUAUUCUGGUCUGUGUUGAGACCAAAGGAAAAAAAAA
Molecule: long non-coding RNA, 552 nt
Organism: Cynoglossus semilaevis (tongue sole)
Lineage: Eukaryota; Metazoa; Chordata; Actinopteri; Pleuronectiformes; Cynoglossidae
Exons: 2
Source: RefSeq, a predicted model, not a curated record